UUGAAAUUUCGGGGUUAGUAGGUUGGUCAUGCCUCUGGUAUGUACUGGUCUCACUGAUUCCUCCUUCCUGAUGAACCGUAAUGCCAUUAAUUUGGUGUUGCGGGGAAUUUGGACUGUUACUUUGAAAAAAUUAGAGUGUCUAAAGCAAGCUAACGCUUGAAUACAUUAGCAUGGAAUAAUGAAAUAGGACGUUACGAACCUAUUUUGUUGGUUUCUAGGAUUGACGUAAUGAUUAAUAGGGAUAGUUGGGGGCAUUAGUAUUCAAUUGUCAGAGGUGAAAUUCUUGGAUUUAUUGAAGACUAACUACUGCGAAAGCAUUUGCCAAGGAUGUUUUCAUUAAUCAAGAACGAAAGUUAGGGGAUCGAAGACGAUCAGAUACCGUCGUAGUCUUAACCAUAAACUAUGCCGACUAGGGAUCGGAUGAUGUUAAUUUUUAAUGACUC
RNAcentral lists this ribosomal RNA (443 nucleotides) under fungal sp. RNAcentral describes it as "SSU rRNA". It matches the Rfam family "Eukaryotic small subunit ribosomal RNA", at positions 634 to 1077 of the family's 1831-position model. Lineage: Eukaryota; Fungi. The record is from RNAcentral.